This 468-nucleotide ribosomal RNA is filed under the name uncultured bacterium. RNAcentral's name for it is "partial 16S ribosomal RNA". It matches the Rfam family "Bacterial small subunit ribosomal RNA", at positions 28 to 507 of the family's 1533-position model. The record is from RNAcentral.
GACGAACGCUGGCGGUGUGCUUAACACAUGCAAGUCGAACGGUAAGGCCCUUUCGGGGGUACACGAGUGGCGAACGGGUGAGUAACACGUGAGUAACCUGCCCUCAUCUCUGGGAUAACAGUCGGAAACGGUUGCUAAUACUGGAUAUGAGCUUGCAAGGCAUCUUGUGGGUUGGAAAGAUUUUUUUUGGUUGGGGAUGGACUCGCGGCCUAUCAGCUUGUUGGUGAGGUAGUGGCUCACCAAGGCUUCGACGGGUAGCCGGCCUGAGAGGGCGACCGGCCACAUUGGGACUGAGAUACGGCCCAAACUCCUACGGGAGGCAGCAGUGGGGAAUAUUGCACAAUGGACGGAAGUCUGAUGCGGCAACGCCGCGUGCGGGAUGACGGCCUUCGGGUUGUAAACCGCUUUCAAUUGUGACGAAGCUUUUUUGCGACGGCAGCAGUAGAAGAAGCACCGGCUAACUACGUG